Molecule: transfer RNA, 69 nt
Filed under: Ictidomys tridecemlineatus (thirteen-lined ground squirrel)
Lineage: Eukaryota; Metazoa; Chordata; Mammalia; Rodentia; Sciuridae
Description: Spermophilus tridecemlineatus (thirteen-lined ground squirrel) tRNA
Rfam family: tRNA
About the family: Transfer RNA (tRNA) molecules are approximately 80 nucleotides in length. Their secondary structure includes four short double-helical elements and three loops (D, anti-codon, and T loops).
Source: Rfam by way of RNAcentral
GGGGCUGGGGCUCAGCGGCAGAGCAUUCGCCUGGCACGCGUGAGGCACUGGGUUCAAUCCUCAGCACCA